AUUGAAUGGCAGUUGGCAGAGAAGAAACUUAGUUGAUAACCGUCCUAACCAACUGUCCAAACCCUUUUUGAUACCGAUAAAUUGCUGAUUUAGGGUUUCACAUUUUAUGUAGUUUACAUUUUCAAUUCUGCAGAAUUUCAUCACAGAAGGGGAAAAAUGUAUGCACCUCCACAGUACCAAGAAACAAGCUAUGUGGAACACGUUCGCAGACGCCACCAAGAAAAGGGAUGCCUUUACGCUUGGUUUGUAUACUUAUAUUUUUUUUUUAUCAUUGCUGUUGUCACUCUACCACACAGAUCAUUCAAUUUUCAUCAUGUUGCUCUCAUUCUUCUCGACACUUGAUGAUUUCUCUUUUCAAUUUUAUUUUGUUUUUUGCUGUCAUUUUUUGACUGGUGGGAAUUUUCAUUGGGAUUUGCACUUGCAGUUUGUUCGCCUUGUGCUGCUGCUUCUGCUGCUACGAGAGCUGUGAGUGCUGUUUGGAUGUGUUAUGUUGCUGCUGCCCCUAGAUAAGGUGUAUCUAUCUAAAAGUAAUAAUUACAGAUGAAGACGAGACUUUCUGAUAUGAGUGUGUUACUUUUGACUUACGGUUGUGAUAAGGUUUUUCCUUAGAAAAUUACUUUAUUAUCAAAGAGGCAUAGACCUAACAAGUACCAUUUUUUGUGUUCUUUUGAUGUUGAAUAUUUUAAUCUAUAGCGGAAGUUACUCCAGUGAUAAUGUAAUGGUUAUAAAUGAAGAAUAAAGUAUGAAUAUUUUGGGGACCCUUUAUGGUGUUAUGUUGUCGGGAAAAGGCAUGGUGAUUGUUGAGCAGAGUGAUGAACUGGGGUCCAAAAUUGAGUAGGCAUGGUGUUCAACAGUUUCUAUGAGUUCAGCUUUGAAUUUACAUCUACUAGUGGCAGAACAAUGCUUAUUUGUUUUUGACCAGAAAAGUAAAGCAAAACCCUUACGGAGUUCAUCAAGUAGUUAUAUUUAGAAGUUCUGUCACAUGCAUGCAUGCAUGCAUGCAUGCCUCCAUAUGUUUGGUAAACAUUUCCAAAUGUGGAAAACUAAAGAACGUUUUAAUGUAGUUGGAGGGAGAACGUAAGGGUGUGUUUGUUUCUUAGUUUCAGUUUUUAGAUAUUAAAUUUUAGAGAUUAAGAGUAGGGAAAGGAGAUGAAAAAUACGAUAAUAAAAAAUAACCCGGAGGAGAAGUUCUGUCUUUUUGUAGUUUUGAAGGUUAAAAUGGACAUAAAUUUUGAAUUGAUUUUAUUAAAAUAUUUAUUUUUUAAAAUAGAUAAUAUUUGUUUAGAGG
Molecule: long non-coding RNA, 1288 nt
Filed under: Vigna radiata
Lineage: Eukaryota; Viridiplantae; Streptophyta; Magnoliopsida; Fabales; Fabaceae
Description: long non-coding RNA (VRAD_LNC007351)
Source: RNAcentral